Molecule: unclassified non-coding RNA, 209 nt
Filed under: Hevea brasiliensis (rubber tree)
Lineage: Eukaryota; Viridiplantae; Streptophyta; Magnoliopsida; Malpighiales; Euphorbiaceae
Source: RNAcentral
AGAAGAACUACAAUGAAUUAUGUCACAAAAAAAUAAGUUUUUUGUUUGUACAUUUUCAUUUAGAAGUUGUUUUGUACAUCAGCCAUCUACACCUUCUUGCUACCAAGCUGCUCUGCUGUGUUGCUACUUUUUGUAGCUAUAUAGUAUGGAACUCCCUGAUAACUUGCUCUUGAACUACUAAAUGUUAUGUAAACAAAACUGGAUGAUCU